UGUCGUCAGCUCGUGUCGUGAGAUGUUGGGUUAAGUCCCGUAACGAGCGCAACCCUUGUCCUUAGUUACCAGCACGUUAUGGUGGGCACUCUAAGGAGACUGCCGGUGACAACCGGAGGAAGGUGGGGAUGACGUCAAGUCAUCAUGGCCCUUACGGCCUGGGCUACACACGUGCUACAAUGGUCGGUACAAAGGGUUGCCAAGCCGCGAGGUGGAGCUAAUCCCAUAAAACCGAUCGUAGUCCGGAUCGCAGUCUGCAACUCGACUGCGUGAAGUCGGAAUCGCUAGUAAUCGUGAAUCAGAAUGUCACGGUGAAUACGUUCCCGGGCCUU
Molecule: ribosomal RNA, 332 nt
Filed under: uncultured Pseudomonas sp.
Lineage: Bacteria; Pseudomonadati; Pseudomonadota; Gammaproteobacteria; Pseudomonadales; Pseudomonadaceae
Description: bacterial SSU rRNA
Rfam family: Bacterial small subunit ribosomal RNA
Source: RNAcentral